RNAcentral lists this ribosomal RNA (468 nucleotides) under uncultured bacterium. Its description in RNAcentral is "partial 16S ribosomal RNA". It matches the Rfam family "Bacterial small subunit ribosomal RNA", at positions 28 to 507 of the family's 1533-position model. The record is from RNAcentral.
GACGAACGCUGGCGGCGUGCUUAACACAUGCAAGUCGAACGGAAAGGCCCUGCUUUUGUGGGGUGCUCGAGUGGCGAACGGGUGAGUAACAAGUGAGUAACCUGCCCUUGACUUUGGGAUAACUUCAGGAAACUGGGGCUAAUACCGGAUAGGAGCUCCUGCUGCAUGGUGGGGGUUGGAAAGUUUCGGCGGGUGGGGAUGGACUCGCGGCUUAUCAGCUUGUUGGUGGGGUAGUGGCUUACCAAGGCUUUGACGGGUAGCCGGCCUGAGAGGGUGACCGGCCACAUUGGGACUGAGAUACGGCCCAGACUCCUACGGGAGGCAGCAGUGGGGAAUAUUGCACAAUGGGCGGAAGCCUGAUGCAGCAACGCCGCGUGCGGGAUGACGGCCUUCGGGUUGUAAACCGCUUUCGCCUGUGACGAAGCGUGAGUGACGGUAAUGGGUAAAGAAGCACCGGCUAACUACGUG